UACGUAGGGUGCGAGCGUUUGUCCGGAAUUAUUGGGCGUAAAGAGCUCGUAGGCGGCUUGUCGCGUCGGAUGUGAAAGCCCCGGGGCUUAACUCCGGGUCUGCAUUCGAUACGGGCAGGCUAGAGUGUGGUAGGGGAGAUCGGAAUUCCUGGUGUAGCGGUGAAAUGCGCAGAUAUCAGGAGGAACACCGGUGGCGAAGGCGGAUCUCUGGGCCAUUACUGACGCUGAGGAGCGAAAGCGUGGGGAGCGAACAGG
This 255-nucleotide ribosomal RNA is filed under the name uncultured bacterium. RNAcentral's name for it is "partial 16S ribosomal RNA". It matches the Rfam family "Bacterial small subunit ribosomal RNA", at positions 524 to 776 of the family's 1533-position model. The record is from RNAcentral.